AGAGUUUGAUCCUGGCUCAGAGCGAACGCUGGCGGCAGGCUUAACACAUGCAAGUCGAGCGGGCGUAGCAAUACGUCAGCGGCAGACGGGUGAGUAACGCGUGGGAACGUACCUUUUGGUUCGGAACAACACAGGGAAACUUGUGCUAAUACCGGAUAAGCCCUUACGGGGAAAGAUUUAUCGCCGAAAGAUCGGCCCGCGUCUGAUUAGCUAGUUGGUGAGGUAAUGGCUCACCAAGGCGACGAUCAGUAGCUGGUCUGAGAGGAUGAUCAGCCACAUUGGGACUGAGACACGGCCCAAACUCCUACGGGAGGCAGCAGUGGGGAAUAUUGGACAAUGGGCGCAAGCCUGAUCCAGCCAUGCCGCGUGAGUGAUGAAGGCCCUAGGGUUGUAAAGCUCUUUUGUGCG
RNAcentral lists this ribosomal RNA (408 nucleotides) under uncultured bacterium. RNAcentral's name for it is "bacterial SSU rRNA". It matches the Rfam family "Bacterial small subunit ribosomal RNA", at positions 8 to 442 of the family's 1533-position model. The record is from RNAcentral.